Molecule: long non-coding RNA, 77 nt
Organism: Etheostoma spectabile (orangethroat darter)
Lineage: Eukaryota; Metazoa; Chordata; Actinopteri; Perciformes; Percidae
Exons: 3
Source: RefSeq, a predicted model, not a curated record
CACUGAGAUUUCUGGGCCCUCUCUUGCACCCGGCACAGCGCAAAGCCAGAUGCAAGUGUCUUUGCUAGUUUAAGACC